CCUACGAGAGGCAGCAGUGGGGAAUAUUGCACAAUGGGGGGAACCCUGAUGCAGCAACGCCGCGUGGGUGAAGAAGUACUUCGGUAUGUAAAGCCCUGUCAGCAGGGAAGAAAAUGACGGUACCUGAACAAGAAGCCACGGAUAAACACGUGCCAGCAGCCGCGGUAUGACGUAGGGGGAAAGCGGUCUCCGGGUUUACGGGGUGUAAAGGGAGCGUAGACGGCAAGGACAGUCUGGAGUGAAAACCCGGGGCCCAACCCCGGGACUGCUUUGGAAACUGUGUUGCUGGAGUGCAGGAGGGGUAAGCGGAAUUCCUGGUGUAGCGGUGAAAUGCGUAGAUAUUAGGAGGAACACCGGUGGCGAAGGCGGCUUACUGGACUGUAACUGACGUUGAGGCUCGAAGGCGUGGGGAGCAAACAGGAUUAGAUACCCGUGUAGUC
Molecule: ribosomal RNA, 440 nt
Filed under: uncultured bacterium
Lineage: Bacteria
Description: partial 16S ribosomal RNA
Rfam family: Bacterial small subunit ribosomal RNA
Source: RNAcentral